GCAGCAUUGCGUAUAAAUAUAUAUGAUCUGCCCACACUUCUGUCCGACGAUUAAGACACACGGAAUAGAAACUGAAUAGAAACAUGAAAAUCAGUCGAACUCUCCUUCCUCUUCUGCUUAUAGCGGGAAUACUCUGUAGCCUAUUCAUUCCCUCUGAAGGUCAGCGUAGGUGGUAUGGUAGAUCUGUGGGGUAUCGUGGUGGCUAUGGAUUAGGUCGUCGUAAUGGUUACGGGGGAUACGGUCGCUAUGGGAGAUACGGCCGAGGUUAUGGUUACGGAAGGAAUAGACGUUAUGGCUAUGGGAGACGACGUUAUGGAUGAAUUUAAAACCUUAAAGAAACGGAACAAGACAAUGAUAUUUCUAUCAUCGAUGUGCAAUUCUUCUAAUGCCUCAUAAAUUUCUUCUAAAAAUAUAAUUGAAACCCGUUGAAUAAAACUCUUUUGAUGUU
Long non-coding RNA from Magallana angulata, 448 nucleotides. RefSeq lists it as uncharacterized. Lineage: Eukaryota; Metazoa; Mollusca; Bivalvia; Ostreida; Ostreidae. The record is from RefSeq and is a predicted model, not a curated record. The transcript has 3 exons.